AUGGGCGAACCGCAGUUUAUCAUCGGCACCUCCAUGAGCGAUAUGCUCGCCAGCAUGGAGCGCGACGGCCGGGACCCUGCGACGCUCGACCUUGGCUUAAACUAUCUGCACCACUUCCUGUACGACUACCUCCCGCACCCGCCGGUCUACCCCACCGCCGCCCACUCGCUCUCCGCCAUGCCGUGGGUCCCCGACGGUGUCGACCGCAUCAACCGCCUCCCCGAUGCGGUCCUCCCGCCAAGGACGCCGCUCGCACUUCCGCCCUCACCUCGCGCUGGCGCCCCCUCUGGCGCAUGGCGCCACUCUCCCUUGUCGACAGCCAUCUACUUCCGGACGGCGGCGCGGCCGGGCAGUUUCCCAUCGGCGUUCCCUCUCCUCCACCAUGGAGGAGCACCGCGGCGAGAUAUCGCGGUGGCUCGACAUCCUCGUCGCCAAGGGGGUCCAAGAACUCGUCUUUGUCAACCCCCUUGGCCGAUUGAUCUGCGCCUCCCCGCCACGCUCUUCGGCUGCGCCUCCCUCACCCGCCUCUAUCUUGGCCUUUGGAGACUCCCGGACACGGCCGCCGUACCGCGCGGCGCCAGAUUCCCCAACCUCCGUGAGCUCGGCCUCUGCAUGACUGUCAUGGAGGACCGUGAUCUGGCAUUCAUGCUUGAAAGAAGCCCCGUCCUGGAGUUCCUCGUCCUCACGGGAAGCCAGACCGGAGUGCGCCUCCGCCUCGUCGGCCAGAGACUGCGGUGCGUUCAGCUGGGCCAUGCCUUAUUGGAGUACAUCGACGUGGUGGAUGCCCCUAGCCUGGAGAGGCUCUUCUUUUGGGAAAUUGGCAAGCUCAAGUCCUUCAGGAAGAGGAACGACGACAACCACUCCACCAUGAACGGCUCUUCCGGGAUCAAGAUUGGGCGUGCACCUAACCUGCGUGUGCUGGGAUACCUUCAGCCAGGAGAGCAACAGUUGGGGAUUAGCAACACCAUCGUCGUGGCUGGUAGCAAGGAGAACAUUCUCCCUAGUGUCCAGAUUUUGUCCAUGGAGGUGCAGUUUGGUGUCCGCAAUGCUGUCAAGAAAGUGCCCGGCUUUCUCCGCUGUUUCCCCAACCUAGAGACGCUCCAUGUUUAUUCCCCUCCCAUAUCUGAAGAGUCCACUGGCAAGGUCAAUCUCAAGUUCUGGCAGGAGGGCGGUCCCAUCAAAUGCAUCGUGCAGAGCAUGAAGAAGGUGUUCUUCUACGAGUUCCAUGGGUUGAGAAGCGAGCUUGCUUUCCUCAAGUUCAUCGCAGAGACCGGUCGGGUGCUGGAGCAUAUGGUGGUUCUGGUGGCCAAAGAAUGCUUCUCCUCUGGAGAUGAUAAUGUGAGGGCCAAGCUGAAGCCUCUAGCAAGCGUGAAAUGGAACAACAAGGCUUGCCAAGUACAGCUCUUCAAGAGCGGGCGCACUAACCCGGGAGGUCCUGUUUACAGCAACAAGAUAGCUCCCGACUUUGGGUUUGCUGACCCUUUUGACCUCCUCGGGCACUAG
RNAcentral lists this ribosomal RNA (1503 nucleotides) under Triticum aestivum (bread wheat). Its description in RNAcentral is "partial small subunit ribosomal RNA". The record is from RNAcentral. Lineage: Eukaryota; Viridiplantae; Streptophyta; Magnoliopsida; Poales; Poaceae.